This 300-nucleotide ribosomal RNA is filed under the name bacterium enrichment culture clone ALO1_GLFRUDD03FJR2R. RNAcentral describes it as "bacterial SSU rRNA". It matches the Rfam family "Bacterial small subunit ribosomal RNA", at positions 9 to 312 of the family's 1533-position model. The record is from RNAcentral.
GAGUUUGAUCCUGGCUCAGAUUGAACGCUGGCGGCAGGCCUAACACAUGCAAGUCGAGCGGAUGACGGGAGCUUGCUCCUUGAUUCAGCGGCGGACGGGUGAGUAAUGCCUGGGAAUCUGCCUGGUAGUGGGGGACAACGUUUCGAAAGGACGCUAAUACCGCAUACGUCCCACGGGAGAAAGCAGGGGACCUUCGGGCCUUGCGCUAUCAGAUGAGCCUAGGUCGGAUUAGCUAGUUGGUGGGGUAAUGGCUCACCAAGGCGACGAUCCGUAACUGGUCUGAGAGGAUGAUCAGUCACA